Molecule: ribosomal RNA, 442 nt
Filed under: uncultured bacterium
Lineage: Bacteria
Description: bacterial SSU rRNA
Rfam family: Bacterial small subunit ribosomal RNA
Source: RNAcentral
AACGCGAAGAACCUUACCUACCCUUGACAUCCUAAGAAUCUUGUAGAGAUACGAGAGUGCCGAAAGGAACUUAGAGACAGGUGCUGCAUGGCUGUCGUCAGCUCGUGUUGUGAGAUGUUGGGUUAAGUCCCGUAACGAGCGCAACCCUUAUCCUUAGUUGCCAACAUGUAAUGGUGGGGACUCUAAGGAGACUGCUGGUGAUGAACCGGAGGAAGGCGGGGACGACGUCAAGUCAUCAUGGCCUUUAUGGGUAGGGCUACACACGUGCUACAAUGGUCGGUACAGAGGGAAGCGAAGCCGCGAGGUGAAGCGAAUCCCGGAAAGCCGAUCGUAGUCCGGAUUGAAGUCUGCAACUCGACUUCAUGAAGUCGGAAUCGCUAGUAAUCGCGAAUCAGAAUGUCGCGGUGAAUACGUUCCCGGGCCUUGUACACACCGGACACGC